GGAAUAUUGGACAAUGGGCGCAAGCCUGAUCCAGCCAUGCCGCGUGAGUGAUGAAGGCCUUAGGGUUGUAAAGCUCUUUCACCGGUGAAGAUAAUGACGGUAACCGGAGAAGAAGCCCCGGCUAACUUCGUGCCAGCAGCCGCGGUAAUACGAAGGGGGCUAGCGUUGUUCGGAAUUACUGGGCGUAAAGCGCACGUAGGCGGAUAUUUAAGUCAGGGGUGAAAUCCCAGAGCUCAACUCUGGAACUGCCUUUGAUACUGGGUAUCUUGAGUAUGGAAGAGGUAAGUGGAAUUCCGAGUGUAGAGGUGAAAUUCGUAGAUAUUCGGAGGAACACCAGUGGCGAAGGCGGCUUACUGGUCCAUUACUGACGCUGAGGUGCGAAAGCGUGGGGAGCAAACAGGAUUAGAUACCCCUG
Molecule: ribosomal RNA, 415 nt
Filed under: uncultured Rhizobium/Agrobacterium group bacterium
Lineage: Bacteria; Pseudomonadati; Pseudomonadota; Alphaproteobacteria; Hyphomicrobiales; Rhizobiaceae
Description: bacterial SSU rRNA
Rfam family: Bacterial small subunit ribosomal RNA
Source: RNAcentral